AGUGAACGUUGGCGGCGUGGAUUAGGCAUGCAAGUCGAGCGAGAACCGUAGCAAUACGGGGACAGCGGCGAAAGGGACAGUAAUGUGUAGGUACCUACCCCCGGGUUCGGGAUAGCUGCGGGAAACUGCAGGUAAUACCGAAUAAUGUCUCCGGACCAAAGGUGUGAUUCCACCUGGGGAGGGGCCUGCAUCCUAUUAGCUUGUUGGUGGGGUAACGGCCUACCAAGGCGACGAUGGGUAGCGGGUGUGAGAGCAUGACCCGCGUCAUUGGGACUGAGACACUGCCCAGACACCUACGGGUGGCUGCAGUCGAGAAUCUUCGGCAAUGGGCGCAAGCCUGACCGAGCGACGCCGCGUGCGGGAUGAAGGCCUUCGGGUUGUAAACCGCUGUCGUAGGGGAGGAAAUGCAGGAGGCUUCUCCCUCUUGUUUGACCUAUCCUAGGAGGAAGUACGGGCUAAGUUCGUGCCAGCAGCCGCCGUAA
RNAcentral lists this ribosomal RNA (482 nucleotides) under uncultured bacterium. RNAcentral describes it as "partial 16S ribosomal RNA". It matches the Rfam family "Bacterial small subunit ribosomal RNA", at positions 28 to 523 of the family's 1533-position model. The record is from RNAcentral.